CCUACGGGUGACAGCAGUGGGGAAUAUUGGGCAAUGGGCGCAAGCCUGACCCAGCAACGCCGCGUGAAGGAAGAAGGCUUUCGGGUUGUAAACUUCUUUUGUCAGGGACGAAGCAAGUGACGGUACCUGACGAAUAAGCCACGGCUAACUACGUUCCAGCAGCAGCGGUAAUACGUAGGGGGCAAGCGUUCUCCGGAUUUACUGGGUGGAAAGGGCGUGUAGGCGGGACUGCAAGUCAGAUGUGAAAACCACGGGCUCAACCUGUGGCCUGCAUUUGAAACUGUAGUUCUUGAGUACUGGAGAGGCAGACGGAAUUCCUAGUGUAGCGGUGAAAUGCGUAGAUAUUAGGAGGAACACCAGUGGCGAAGGCGGUCUGCUGGACAGCAACUGACGCUGAGGCGCGAAAGCGUGGGGAGCAAACAGGAUUAGAUACCCCAGUAGUC
This 443-nucleotide ribosomal RNA is filed under the name uncultured bacterium. Its description in RNAcentral is "partial 16S ribosomal RNA". It matches the Rfam family "Bacterial small subunit ribosomal RNA", at positions 338 to 795 of the family's 1533-position model. The record is from RNAcentral.